RNAcentral lists this ribosomal RNA (801 nucleotides) under uncultured bacterium. Its description in RNAcentral is "bacterial SSU rRNA". It matches the Rfam family "Bacterial small subunit ribosomal RNA", at positions 51 to 849 of the family's 1533-position model. The record is from RNAcentral.
ACACAUGCAAGUCGAGGGGCAGCACGGUGUAGCAAUACACCGGUGGCGACCGGCGCACGGGUGAGUAACACGUGUGCAACCAACCCCGUACCGGGAGAUAACCCGCGGAAACGUGGACUAACACCCCAUAACACCUUUCCCCUGCAUGGGGGGGAGUUUAAAACCCCGGUGGUACGGGACGGGCACGCGCGACAUUAGGUAGUUGGCGGGGUAACGGCCCACCAAGCCGACGAUGUCUAGGGGUUCUGAGAGGAAGGUCCCCCACACUGGAACUGAGACACGGUCCAGACUCCUACGGGAGGCAGCAGUGAGGAAUAUUGGUCAAUGAGCGAGAGCCUGAACCAGCCAAGUCGCGUGAGGGAAGAAUGGUCUAUGGCCUGUAAACCUCUUUUGUCAAGGAAGAAUAAGCGGCACGAGUGCCACCUUGCCAGUACUUGACGAAUAAGCAUCGGCUAACUCCGUGCCAGCAGCCGCGGUAAUACGGGGGAUGCGAGCGUUAUUCGGAUUUAUUGGGUUUAAAGGGCGCGUAGGCGGGACGACAAGUCAGCGGUAAAAGACUGCAGCUAAACUGUAGCACGCCGUUGGAACUGUCGACCUGGAGACGAGACGAGGGAGGCGGAACAAGUGAAGUAGCGGUGAAAUGCAUAGAUAUCACUUGGAACCCCGAUAGCGAAGGCAGCUUCCCAGGCUCGAUCUGACGCUGAUGCGCGAGAGCGUGGGUAGCGAACAGGAUUAGAUACCCUGGUAGUCCACGCCGUAAACGAUGCUCACUGGAUCUUGGCGAUACACGGCCAGGGUUCA